RNAcentral lists this ribosomal RNA (253 nucleotides) under uncultured bacterium. Its description in RNAcentral is "partial 16S ribosomal RNA". It matches the Rfam family "Bacterial small subunit ribosomal RNA", at positions 524 to 776 of the family's 1533-position model. The record is from RNAcentral.
UACAGAGGUCUCAAGCGUUGUUCGGAUUCAUUGGGCGUAAAGGGUGCGUAGGCGGCGCGGUAAGUCGGGUGUGAAAUCUCGGAGCUUAACUCCGAAACUGCAUUCGAUACUGCCGUGCUUGAGGACUGGAGAGGAGACUGGAAUUUACGGUGUAGCGGUGAAAUGCGUAGAUAUCGUAAGGAAGACCAGUGGCGAAGGCGGCGAUCUGGCCCAACACUGACACUCAGACCCGAAAGUGCGGGGAUCAAACAGG